RNAcentral lists this non-coding RNA (77 nucleotides) under Phoenicopterus ruber ruber. The record is from RNAcentral. Lineage: Eukaryota; Metazoa; Chordata; Aves; Phoenicopteriformes; Phoenicopteridae.
AUUGGCUGUUACCUGCAGCUGAUGAGCUCCAAAAAGAGUGUAACCGCUUAGGUCCUGUAGUAUUGGCCUAUAAGUGU